Molecule: long non-coding RNA, 3303 nt
Filed under: Homo sapiens (human)
Lineage: Eukaryota; Metazoa; Chordata; Mammalia; Primates; Hominidae
Description: HSALNT0315724
Source: RNAcentral
UCUCAGGCUUCAGGGUACUUAUGAGUCACCUCAAGAUCUUGCUAAGAUGCAUGUUCUAAAUCAAAGACAGGGCCGGAGACUCUGCAUUUCUAAUAAGCUCCAGGAGUUGCAAAAGGUUAGAGGUUUUGCAGGAGAUCUUCUCUAAGGUUAAGAAGCCUCACAGGACUUGACUGCUCUUUCUCUGUCUUUUACACUGGUGUUACCUAUAGGCCCCAGGAAAUGCUUGUUAAAGCAAUGAAGUAAAUACUUGCCACCAAUGCUAAAAAGGAAAACAAUAUGCCAUUGACAAAAAACUUCCUAAGGAUUAUGGGCUGCAUCAUCCCAGAAGCUAAUGAAUACACUGGUCCCCCGUGGCCCAGAAAGGAACUCAGGAUGCCAGGGGUUGCUGAGACACUGGUUGGCCAAGUGGAGACCAGGGAGGAGCAUGCAUGUGCACACACGCAGACAGACAGACAGACAGACACACACACACACGCACACACACACACACACACCCUGUCACACAUUUCUUUAAGCCAAUAGCACUCAAACUUGAUUGACUGUGCAAGAGGAUUACCUGGAGGGCUUGUAAGUACACAGUCUAUUUUUCUGUUUCAAGAAAGUCUGGGGUGGAGGUGAGAAUGUGCAUUUCUAACAAGUUCCCAGAUGCUGUUGAUGAUGCUAGCAUAGGCACUUUGAGAACCACAGCUUUAAACAAAUUGAGAAGAUCAAGUAGCUAGAUGAAACACAGAGUUGGUUCUUCUGUAAUUGAGCACACAUCUGUUCCAUGUGGCAUGGCCAGACUCUGAAGCCAGGUGGAUUUCAUUUGUAGCAGCCUGGCCUCUGCCAAGGCCUUACCAGGAUGCUUGUUUUGAAGCAAUUAAUGAUCCCCUUGCUUCAGUGCAAUCUAUUGCCUAGUGAUAUCUGGCAUCAUCACCAUUAGCAGCAUCCGCCAGGGAACGUAACUGGGAUUCUGAAGCUCUCUGUGGAAAAGUACUCUUCCUUUAGGAAAGUGGUAGUCGCUCUUAUUUCUUCCCCCAGCUUAUAAGACAGCUUUAUUCUAACAUUUAUAGGUAGCAUUACAGUGUGAGGAGUCUGAAGCUCUUAAACAUUAUGAACCAGAAGUAUAGAACUUACUUGUUUGUUAUGUAAAUGUUAUUAAUUUUCUUUGAAAUGAAAAGGCCAAAAGAAAACCCAAAUAUACUAAUAGUACUUUCUAGUUAUUUUCUCACUGAGACAAACCAUGAAUUUGUCACUAGACCAGAAUAUAAAAACAGCAUUCUAGAAGAAAAGAAAUUGUAUGCUGUUGAAUGUCAGGUGCACAAAUUCUUGCACCAUGCAGGUUAUUUUAAAUUCUUGAAUCUUAUUUUAUCCCCUGAGAAGUGCUUUUUAAUUGGUAGUGGAAGUAAAUAUAAGUUAAAAAAUAGUAUCUUUCAAUUGCAUCACUGAACGGAUAGUAAGUCAGGACACUUUCUUUUCAUUUUGUAUUUGUGACAUUUUCCAUUUCAGUCACUUACACUAAACAUCCAGAAAGGUCAAGAUGAGCUGCCAAAUACAGGUUUCCCGAAAUGCUGUUGAAAUUUCUUAUCUUUGCAUCCUCGUACCAACCUGCCUAAACAUGUUUCCUUAAAUAAGUGUCAGCCUGGGCUGCUGGGCAACAGUAAGGCCUUUGGGUGUAAAUUGCUCAGGACCUGUACCCACGAGAGAGCUGGCCUCGGAUAUCUAAAGCCCAGGAUGGGCACCCAAGGGGAAGGACUCUGGGGCCCUGUGUCUUCUGACACCUAUUUUACUUCAGUAUUGGCUGACAUCAAAAGAACUGGGAUGUCAGUACAGAAAAUGCAGAUAUUUAUUUACAAUUAAUAACUAACUGCAUUUAUAAAUAAAUAUAUUUAUAAUAACUAACUGUGAGGAUGGUUUUGCCUAGUGUUGACUGCAUUCCUUCUUAUGCUACAGGGAAGUGACAUAAACAGAAGCAGGCAGAUAGAAAUGCCGCUGCGCAGAGUCCACAACACUUGAAUAUUUCGAUUGAGAAGCAGCCCUAACAGACUAAGACGAAUACUAACUGAGGACCCACCAGACUUGGAGAAAUAAACCCCUUUUGACUGAGCCAACUGAGGCUGCUCUUGAAAUCAAAAUCUAUCAUAAAGUAAGAGUGAAGCUGCAGCGUGGGUCUACCUAAAACUCAAUUCAAGGGCCUUGGGAUCGAGGGCAGGAGUGUGCCUGUGACCAGCUGUCAUUAGUUCUAUUGACUACCUGUGGGAAAGCUGGUCAAGUGGCCACUUGCUCACCUCAAGACAAUGAAUGAAGCUUUCCUGGAUGCUAAGUGACUGCCACCUUGUGAGCUAAGCCUGGCAAGACCUUUGGGCUACACUUCCCUCCUCACUGUGAGCUGUGGCUUGGGCAGGCUCAAAGGGGCCCACUCACUCUGCAGAUGUGCCUCAGGGACAUGGAUGACUCUGCCAGCUGCACUUGAGGGCAAAAUAAUCAUUUACAGCUUCCCAGGCUACACCUCUUGGACAUACACAUUGGAGGAAACAGAUGUCUGCUGUAAAAUUAACAAGAGCACUUCUACAUCCAGACAGUGAUGAAUAAACUCAAAGGAAAGGAAAAUCAUUUGGCAACCGGAAGGUGUGGGAGGAUAGCUGUAAAUGAAACUGACGGCAAAAAACAGAGCAGAGAAGUUUAAAGAAAAAAAAUAACAGCAUUCCUGGUGAUGCCCCAUUGGGCCAAUGAAACAAACACAUUCUGAAGCCUUUCCUAACCAGGAGCCAACCAAUCUCAUCACUGUGAAGCCAGAAAACCCUAUCUAUUGAAGAUGACUGCUUUCUUCUACUGUAGCUGGCAAUUUUAUGAAAUGAAGAAAAUUUGCUCUAGUUGCAAGUGACACACACCUCUUAAAUGUCUGCUAUCAAUUAAAAGUAAAAUACUGGUUACUUGCAACUAUCAAUUAGAUACAAUGCACUCCAGGAGAUCAGGAGCCUUGGCAUUCAGACAUAGGAGCAUUUUUUUGGCUUUGCCAUUUACUUGCAAUGUGACCUUGAUGAGAGAGAAGUUGAUGCUCAGCGAGGUGAAGUAAUUUGCCCAGGGUUAAGAUUCAAAUGCAAGUCUGGGGACCCUGAAGUCUGCUUCUUUUCACUGUGCUGCGUAGUGGCCUUAGCCUUUCCUUUCUAACAGAGAAGCCAAGACAGCAUACCUGUGUCUGAGUGCCCCAGUGGUGUGCACAUCUAUUACCUCAGGAAGAAAGAAUGUCUGAGGAGACGAAAUUUGCAAACAGUUACAAAGGACUGCACACACAAAUAUGAAUAAAGCCUCUUGAACACCAGA